UACGUAGGGUGCGAGCGUAAUCGGAAUUACUGGGCGUAAAGCGUGCGCAGGCGGUUUUGUAAGCCAGAUGUGAAAUCCCCGGGCUCAACCUGGGAAUGGCAUUUGGGACUGCAAGGCUGGAGUACGGCAGAGGAGACUGGAAUUCCUGGUGUAGCAGUGAAAUGCGUAGAUAUCAGGAGGAAUACCGAUGGCGAAGGCAGGUCUCUGGGCUGAUACUGACGCUCAUGCACGAAAGCGUGGGGAGCAAACAGG
This 252-nucleotide ribosomal RNA is filed under the name uncultured bacterium. RNAcentral describes it as "partial 16S ribosomal RNA". It matches the Rfam family "Bacterial small subunit ribosomal RNA", at positions 524 to 776 of the family's 1533-position model. The record is from RNAcentral.